RNAcentral lists this ribosomal RNA (688 nucleotides) under Trichuris skrjabini. RNAcentral describes it as "bacterial SSU rRNA". It matches the Rfam family "Eukaryotic small subunit ribosomal RNA", at positions 1020 to 1647 of the family's 1831-position model. The record is from RNAcentral. Lineage: Eukaryota; Metazoa; Nematoda; Enoplea; Trichinellida; Trichuridae.
CUAGUUGUGACCGUAAACGAUGCCAACCAGCGAUUCGGCGACGUUCUUUUUAUGACUCGCUGAGCAGCUUCCGGGAAACCAAAGUGUUUCGGUUCCGGGGGAAGUAUGGUUGCAAAGCUGAAACUUAAAGGAAUUGACGGAAGGGCACCACCAGGAGUGGAGCAUGCGGCUUAAUUUGGCUCAACACGGGAAAACUCACCCGUCCCGAACACUGUGAGGAUUGACAGAUCAAGAGCUCUUUCUUGAUUCAGUGGGUAGUGGUGCAUGGCCGUUCUUAGUUGGUGGAGCGAUUUGUCUGGCUAAUUCCGAUAACGAACGAGACUCUGGCCUACUAACUAGCGGCGGUAUUCAUGACUUCCGUGCCUGCGGAGUCGUGCGCGGUUGGCUGCGCAUCAGUCGCCGCGUACGCGCUUCCUGGCCGGGAGCACCAGUACUGGCAGCCGCUUCUUAGAGGGACCAGCGACACUUUCGCAAGCCGCACGAGAAAGAGCAAUAACAGGUCUGUGAUGCCCUUAGAUGGACGGGGCUGCACGCGUGCUACACUGACGGCGUCAGCGUGCGUUCAAGCCUGGCCUGGCAAGGUCGGGAAAUCGGUUGAAACGUUCUCGUGACUGGGACAGGGAAUUGCAAUUAUUUCCCUCGAACGAGGAAUUCCCAGUAAGCGCGAGUCAUCAGCUUGCGUUGAUUA